This 5034-nucleotide long non-coding RNA is filed under the name Marmota monax (woodchuck). Lineage: Eukaryota; Metazoa; Chordata; Mammalia; Rodentia; Sciuridae. The record is from RNAcentral.
CAGGCUAUUCUUUUCUCUCCUUUUAGACAAAAAUUGCUCCAACCCAAAAAGAAGAAGUAAUCAAGUCAGGCUUCACUGAGGCAAAUCAUCUCUCAGACGCCUGCCAAUGCUGUCAGAACCUUUUCUGGUCAGAAAUGAAAUGCCCUGAUGCCAUCUGCCCCUAGAAAAAUCAAGAAGGGACUAGGACAACAGCUCAGACAUGGCAGGAGCAGACUGUAGUGGGUAAGAUGUGGGCAGAGAGCAUAAGAGAAUGUUCCUGGCCUCCCUGAGCCUGGGAGUCCUGUUGGAGAUGGUCUUCCCACAGUGAGCUGGGUCCCUGGGCUCCGAGGCUCACUCUGCAGCUGCGUGGCCCUGUGCAAACUCUGGUUCAGGGUUGUUGAAGAAUCCCGUGACAUAUGGAUGGAAGUGUCAUUGAACACUGUGGGAAGCAAGGUACUGUUAUUCUCUGAGGUAAUACAGCAGGGUCUUUUGAUGCUAGAAUCUCCCAUUUUCACAAUGAGGCAUCUAUUGUCUCAGAAAAUCAUCCCAACAACUCUCUGAGCAGCCAUGUCAGGAAUCAUUUAUUUUCAGAGAUGAAGAACAAACAUGCAUGGAGAAGGCGAGUGACUUUCCCAAGAUCACUAGGUGAUAAAUAGCAGUCUGCACACCCUGUCCUGUUCUUGUUCUGUGGUAGCCAUCCAUGCAAAUUCUCAUGCACAAAAGGAAUAGCUGUGCCCUGGAAUUCCAUUCAUUUGCUGACUAACAGAUUCUUCAUAAAGUUAUUGACCUAAAGACUCGAACACUAGUCUUAAUUUUAGAGUAACUAGGCUCAUUUUCUGUCCUUUAAAAAGAGUGACAUGUAAAAUGACAGGGUUCCCCGAACAGUCUCUGAACUGGGGAUGACUGAGGAGAGGUUGGCUGGACGUCUCUAUGGGUUGCAGGAUUCAGCAGAACCAGAAAGCUUUUUGGAGAAUCCUUUCAAUUUUCCAGCCAAAGUGCCCUGCUAUGCGUAUGACCUUUAUUUCCUAGACUUUUCCAAAGGAUGGAAAAUAUUGUGAUGUCCAAAAAGGACUGAGAUCAUCCAGUGGGGCUGUGAUUGCAGGAGGUUCAGAAAAACUGUGGGCAGACAUGACUACUGAGGAGGUGUGAGGUAGGCGAGCAAGUUGUGGGGUGCCUCGCAGGCCCAGGAAGAAGGCCCAGCCCGGCAAGCAUCCAGAAGGAAGUUCCGGAAGCAGCAAAUGAGAUUCUUCACCCUCCUCUGUGAUGAGGUUAGAUCUCCAAAGCAGGACUUCAACUAAUCAAAGGAAAAGUGGUUAUGAAACAGAAUACCUAAAAAUCAGGCCAAAACUUAGACAAGGAACUAGGAAAGAAAAGAAUCUAGUUAUGGAACUGAGGUACCAGGAAAGACCUCAAUCAAAAAGGUAUAAGUCAACUAGGCACAGUGGUACACACCUGUAAUCCCAGAGGUUCUGGAAGCUGAGGCAGGAGGGUUGCAGGUUCAAAGCCAACCUAUAAGCUGGCCUCUGCAAUUUAGUGAGGCCCUCAACAACUUAAAGAGACCCUGUCUCAAAAAAAAAAAAAUUUAAAUGCUGGGGAUGAGGCUUUGUAGGUAAAGUACCCCCUGAGUUUAAUCCCCCAGGACCCCAGCCCCACCCCACCCCCACCAAAAAAUAAGGAACAAGUCAAGAGCCCUGCUCAGUGGACCAGAGAGAAUGUAAGGCUAGCGCCACAAGGUGACUGAUCUAGUAAAAUGCUGACCCAGCGUCACAUGCCUAAAGGCCUUCAGGUAUGGGGCUCAGGCAUGGCUGAACACAAUGUGGACAGGAGGCAGAUUCAACUUCAGAAAGAAAAAAAGAGUUUAGCUGACCCACAUGAAACUGAGUCUUUCCAUUUCUUAAUUCCCUCCCUCUCCACAUUCACCCUGGGCAUACUCAGAUGCAGGUAUGGAAGAACACACAAGCAUGUUAUUUAAAGGGGCUGGUGACACUUGCGAGGACCAACCCAGAUAGGAGAAGAAUCUGGUCUUUCAUGGAGUCUUGCUGAUUGCUUUUUCAGGUUUCUCAUGCCCUCACUUGAAAGAUUCUAGUUCUAACAUGUCCCAAUGCACAGUUUCAGCCACUGUCACAAAUGCAAUCCCCUAGAGAGUGCAGGCUGAUGAUGUAAAUUAGUAAAGUAGCCCAUGAGAGGCAACAGGGAGUGGUAGAGACUGUGGUAAACUUGAGAGCACGUCUCUAAGGGGACCAUGACGGCCAGCUCUGGCCAGCCAACCAGCCUACCUUCUACUAAGGAAAAAAAGAAAAGCCUAACCUGGGACUCCCUGGGCUAACGUCAAGGUGUCAGUAGGGCCAUGUUCCUUCCUGGAGGUCCCAGGGUAGAACCUCUCCCUUGCUGAUUCGGGUUGCUGGCAAGACCCAGUCCUUGCAGUUGCAGCCAUGAGAUCCCCUUGCUGGCAGCAGCUGAAGCCAUUCUCAGCCUCUCAGAAGCUACCUGCAUUUCUUAGCUCAUGGCCUCCUUCCUCCCCCAUCGUUAGGGUUGGCGAUGGUGAAACAAGCUCCUCUCAUGCUUUGAGUUUCUCUGCCUCUCCCACCAUCACACCUCUCCAGUCCCCUCCUCCGCCUCCCAAAUCCCCUUGUCAGAGCCCUCCUGGAUAAUCCAGGAUAAUCUCUGUUUUUAGGUUCUCUAACCUUGAUUUCAUAUCCCAAAUUCCUUUUUCCAUGUACGAUAGCAUAUUCACAGGUUCCAGGGAUCAGGUAUGGCCACAACAAAGACUGCCUCCUACAGUCCCGAGAGUAACCUUCCUAGAAAAGAGUGUGGAAACUCAGAACCAGGCCUCCGAGGCCAUCCCUGCCUCCUAGACCUUGGGCACACCAUUGUCUUCUUGCCAUGUCUUUCUGAUUAUCCUUUCUCAGUCGCCCUGACUCCUCCCCUGCUUCUUCCUUGAAUAUCAGGCUCCCACAGCUCUACUCUCUAGCUUAUCUUCUUGCACUGCACUGCAUCGAAACCCCUACUCCCAGUUUCUCCUCCAAGCUUAGAAUCCAAAUUUCCAAUUACAUAAUGGGACACUGCAAAUUUAAUAUAUCCCAAACUAGCCUUGGCUCCUUCACUCCCUUUCUCAACCCCAGACAGAAAACAUAAGCAUCUCCUUCAGCCGUCCCUCCCCUCCUGCACUUCAGCUGGGGGAGCAGGAAGUCCUCGGGACUUGGUCUUGGAAGCAUCUCUCCAUCCAAUCCUCCCCUCUGCCUACUGGCACAGCCUAGGUCAGCCCCCAUCCUGUGUCAGCAGCACUGGGAAGUCACCUCCUAAUCUUAGCCUCCUCACUCCUCUCUCUACACACAUCCGACACACUCUACUUCACCCCACACAUCAAGAACCAACUCUGAUCUGUUCCAUGUGGAAGACUAUGUAUCCCCCUUCUUUGCCUAAAUGAACAGAGCUUCCAUUCCUUAUCAGAAAACACCAGGCCAUAGAUAAUGUGACUCUAAUACAAGCUUCCAGGUUUAUAUCUUCCUGUGUCUCUCCCCCUCACCCACACAUCCACACCUCUCUCUCUCUCUCUCUCUCUCUCAUUCAUUCCACUUUCCAGCAAUAAGAGUAUCUAAAAUACCCUUCCAUUAUCCUGGUGACAUCAGCCAUCAGUCAGUAUUUAGCAAUAUGAAAAUUAAUUCCAGUGGAAAAACCACAUUGUAGAAUUAAGCAAACCCGUGAAGUAGUUUUGAGUUGAAAAAAGAAAAAUUGAUCUAUGUCAUUGUUUGACUAAGGAAAUAAAGGAUCACUUGAAUAGUAAGAAUAAGAUUUUUUUCUAAAUCACAUGAUGCAGACCUUGAGCGUUAAUUCUUCAGCCUGAGACUAUCUACAUAAGAAACAUAUGAUAAAGGAGAAAAUAAUAAAAUAUUGGUUUAAUUUGGAGGGAACAAAGAGUAGAAAGUGUGAUUUAUGCUAAUAAUCCAGUUUUUAUGAACAGGGGAUAUAUAGUGAUCUAGAUCUUUACACCCUUAUAGACUUGGAUCAUAUACUUUUGAGGGCAGAGACUGACCUAUUUUUCUUUGUACCUCCAGUACUUAACACAGUACUUAACAUGCAUGUAAUCGUUUUCCCCUCAAAAUACAUUGCAUGCAUAAGUAAAUGAAUUGCACUAGUUGCUGGGAAUGUAGAAGAAGAAACAGAAUAUGAAGUUUAUGCCUUUGGUGACCUUAGACAGAGCUAUUACCAGAAAAUCAAAUCAAUAGUCAAUUACAAUUGUGAUAGCACCAGAAAGAAGAAACAUCAGAUGCUAUUUACUUAAUGAAACUUUUUAAUGUUCCAAUAAUUCUUGAUGCCUUAAGAACUGUUUUACUUUUUAGGAAGCACAAACAAUCCAUUCACACCAAAGAGUGGCAGAAAGAGGGAGAGGAAAGAAGAAAGAACAAGAGAAAUGGAGAGAUCUGCCUCCACCUUCACACGAGCCUUUUCAGAUACUUGUGUCAGAGUGACAUGAAAUCUCCCCCUUUUCUACAGCUGUAGACAAAACAUCUGCCCCUCAUUUUGAGUGCCUCCAACUGUUCCAAGUGUCACCCCUGAGGAGGGGGUGGCCCAUGUCUAUAGUGCUUCAGAGUGCCAGUCCUCACCCCUACACCUCCAGCAGGACUGUGGGUCACUAGCCAAAAUAAAGCACAUCCACACUCAACGCUGUGGGCCUGCCAUCCUCUUCUUAAGAAAAAAGGUGUCAGGGAAGACAAUACGUCGCUUCCCAGGGGGCUCCCAGGAUCAUUUCCAAUUAAGAGAUUAGUGGACUUUACACUUCCCAUCCUGGACCAAGAACACGGUUGGCCAGUCUCCUCCAGUGGCUUUGACACCUGGACUGUCCCCUGACCCCCAUUGGGGCCAGGAGGCUCUGCUGCCACUCCUUCAGAGCUCAAGGUUUUCCUCAAGGCAAGCUGGGUUUAAAUUAAAUCUCUGUGCUUCCCAGUAACUCUGUGAUCUCAGAAUUACUAAACCCCCAUCAAGCCCCGUCACCCUUGUGUGUGAAAUGGAGCUGACAACAGGUACCUCCUAGGGUUAUUUGAGGAAUGACUUGAG